This 253-nucleotide ribosomal RNA is filed under the name uncultured bacterium. Its description in RNAcentral is "partial 16S ribosomal RNA". It matches the Rfam family "Bacterial small subunit ribosomal RNA", at positions 524 to 776 of the family's 1533-position model. The record is from RNAcentral.
UACAGAGGGUGUGAACGUUGCUCGGAAUUACUGGGCGUAAAGCGCGUGUAGGCGGGGUCGCAAGUCAGAUGUGAAAUCCCCGGGCUCAACCCGGGAACUGCACCUGAAACUGCGAUCCUUGAGUACUGGAGAGGGUGGCGGAAUUCCUGGUGUAGAGGUGAAAUUCGUAGAUAUCAGGAGGAACACCGGUGGCGAAGGCGGCCACCUGGACAGUUACUGACGCUGAGACGCGAAAGCGUGGGGAGCGAACAGG